Molecule: ribosomal RNA, 287 nt
Filed under: Blastocystis hominis
Lineage: Eukaryota; Bigyra; Opalinata; Blastocystidae
Description: partial 18S ribosomal RNA
Rfam family: Eukaryotic small subunit ribosomal RNA
Source: RNAcentral
GAUUAAGCCAUGCAUGUGUAAGUAUAAAUAGUUAACUUUGAAACUGCGAAUGGCUCAUUAUAUCAGUUAUAGUUUAUUUGAUGAAGAAUACUAAUUGGAUAACCGUAGUAAUUCUAGAGCUAAUACAUGUAUAAAGUCUUGUAGACUGCAUUUAUUAGAAUGAAAACCAUAGGUUUCGGCCUAUUCGUGAGUAAUAAUAACUAAUCAUAUCGUAUGCGAUUUGUAACGAUGUGUCUUUCAAGUUUCUGCCCUAUCAGUUUUCGAUGGUAGUGUAUUGGACUACCAUG